GAUGAACGCUGGCGGCGUGCCUAAUACAUGCAAGUAGAACGCUGAAGGAGGAGCUUGCUCUUCUGGAUGAGUUGCGAACGGGUGAGUAACGCGUAGGUAACCUGCCUGGUAGCGGGGGAUAACUAUUGGAAACGAUAGCUAAUACCGCAUGACAACAGUUAUUGCAUGAUAACUGUUUAAAAGGGGCAACUGCUCCACUACCAGAUGGCCCUGCGUUGUAUUAGCUAGUUGGUGGGGUAACGGCUCACCAAGGCGAAGGUACAUAUCCGACCUGAGAGGGUGGUCGGCCAAACUGGGACUGGGACACGGCCCAGAAUCCUACGGGAGGCAGCAGUAGGGAAUCUUCGGCAAUGGACGGAAGUCUGACCGAGCAACGCCGCGUGAGUGAAGAAGGUCUUCAGAUCGGAAAGCUCUGUUGUAAGAGAAGAAAGAGUGUGAGAGUGGAAAGUUCACACUGUGACGGUAUCUUACCAGAAAGGGACGGCUAACUACGUG
This 495-nucleotide ribosomal RNA is filed under the name uncultured bacterium. RNAcentral's name for it is "partial 16S ribosomal RNA". It matches the Rfam family "Bacterial small subunit ribosomal RNA", at positions 28 to 507 of the family's 1533-position model. The record is from RNAcentral.